Molecule: ribosomal RNA, 1621 nt
Filed under: metagenome
Description: bacterial LSU rRNA
Rfam family: Bacterial large subunit ribosomal RNA
Source: RNAcentral
GGUGAAAAGCCUCCCCGCCGAAAGCCCAAGGUUUCCUCGCGCAACGUUCAUCGGCGCAGGGUGAGUCGGCCCCUAAGGCGAGGCAGAAAUGCGUAGUCGAUGGGAAGCAGGUUAAUAUUCCUGCACUUUUCUACAGUGCGAUGUGGGGACGGAGAAGGUUAGGUCUACCAGGCGUUGGUUGUCCUGGGGAAAGGAGGUAGGCAUGAUUCUUAGGCAAAUCCGGGAAUCUCUAUGCCGAGCACCGAGACGAGUCCUAUGAGGACGAAGUGACUGAGACCACGCUUCCAGGAAAAGCCACUAAGCUUCAGCUGUAGAAAAACCGUACCGCAAACCGACACUGGUAGGCAGGGUGAGAAUCCCAAGGCGCUUGAGAGAACUCGGGUGAAGGAACUAGGCAAAAUGGCACCGUAACUUCGGGAGAAGGUGCGCCCUUUGGUGUGGUCACGUGCGUGACUGAGCAUCGAAGGGUCGCAGUAACCUGGCCGCUGCGACUGUUUAUCAAAAACACAGCACUCUGCAAACACGAAAGUGGACGUAUAGGGUGUGACGCCUGCCCGGUGCUGGAAGGUUAAUUGAUGGGGUCAGCCGCAAGGCGAAGCUCUUGAUCGAAGCCCCAGUAAACGGCGGCCGUAACUAUAACGGUCCUAAGGUAGCGAAAUUCCUUGUCGGGUAAGUUCCGACCUGCACGAAUGGCGUAACGACAGCGGCGCUGUCUCCACCCGAGACUCAGUGAAAUUGAAAUCGCUGUGAAGAUGCAGCGUUCCCGCGGCAAGACGGAAAGACCCCGUGAACCUUUACUAUAGCUUUACAUUGAACGUUGAGUUCUUCUGUGUAGGAUAGGUGGGAGGCUAUGAAACCGAGACGCUAGUUUCGGUGGAGCCAUCCUUGAAAUACCACCCUGAAGUGCUUGACGUUCUAACCUAGGUCCGUAAUCCGGAUCGGGGACCAUGUAUGGUGGGUAGUUUGACUGGGGCGGUCUCCUCCCAAAGAGUAACGGAGGAGCACGAAGGUACGCUCAGCGCGGUCGGACAUCGCGCACUGUGUGCAAAGGCAUAAGCGUGCUUGACUGCGAGAUCGACGGAUCAAGCAGGUACGAAAGUAGGUCUUAGUGAUCCGGUGGUUCUGUAUGGAAGGGCCAUCGCUCAACGGAUAAAAGGUACUCCGGGGAUAACAGGCUGAUACCGCCCAAGAGUUCAUAUCGACGGCGGUGUUUGGCACCUCGAUGUCGGCUCAUCACAUCCUGGGGCUGUAGCCGGUCCCAAGGGUAUGGCUGUUCGCCAUUUAAAGUGGUACGCGAGCUGGGUUCAGAACGUCGUGAGACAGUUCGGUCCCUAUCUGUCGUGGGCGUUGGAGAUUUGAGGGGGGCUGCUCCUAGUACGAGAGGACCGGAGUGGACGUUCCGCUGGUGUUCGGGUUGUCAUGCCCAUGGCAUUGCCCGGUAGCUACGAACGGAAGUGAUAACCGCUGAAAGCAUCUAAGCGGGAAGCACGCCCCAAGAUGAGAUCUCCCGAGAGCUAGACUCUCCUUAAGGCACCAUCAAGACUAGGUGGUUGAUAGGCGCGGUGUGGAAGUGCAGCAAUGCAUUGAGCUUACGCGUACUAAUGAGCCGUGAGGCUUGACC